This 443-nucleotide ribosomal RNA is filed under the name uncultured bacterium. Its description in RNAcentral is "partial 16S ribosomal RNA". It matches the Rfam family "Bacterial small subunit ribosomal RNA", at positions 338 to 795 of the family's 1533-position model. The record is from RNAcentral.
CCUACGGGUGGCAGCAGUGGGGACUAUUGGGCAAUGGGCGCAAGCCUGACCCAGCAACGCCGCGUGAAGGAAGAAGGCUUUCGGGUUGUAAACUUCUUUUCUCAGGGACGAAGCAAGUGACGGUACCUGAGGAAUAAGCCACGGCUAACUACGUGCCAGCAGCCGCGGGAAUACGUGGGUGGCAAGCGUGAUCUGGAUUUUCUGGGUGUAAAGGGCGGGUAGGCGGGACUGCAAGGACGAUGUGAAAACCAUGGGCUCAACCGACGGCCUGCAUUUGAAACUGUAGUUCUUGAGUACGGGAGAGGCAGACGGAAUUCCUAGUGUAGCGGUGAAAUGCGUAGAUAUUAGGAGGAACACCAGUGGCGAAGGCGGUCUGCUGGACAGCAACUGACGCUGAGGCGCGAAAGCGUGGGGAGCAAACAGGAUUAGAUACCCCUGUAGUC